This is a long non-coding RNA of Lycium ferocissimum, 276 nucleotides long. RefSeq lists it as uncharacterized. The transcript is spliced from 2 exons. The record is from RefSeq and is a predicted model, not a curated record. Lineage: Eukaryota; Viridiplantae; Streptophyta; Magnoliopsida; Solanales; Solanaceae.
AUAAUCCAUAUAACCCAUAUGAUGCAGAAAGAUAAUAUUUCAGAUCCUUUCUCGAAACGAAAAAGAUUAUAUUUCAGACCACACUUGUGCUUCUUCUCUACAUAGGUCCCUUUUCAAAGGGUAGGGAGCCACAAAUCCAAGAAAACAUUUAUAUCAUGUACGCUUUUUAAGCUGCACCAGAAAGCUGAAACUGUAAACUAAAGUAUUGCAACCUUUUUUUUUUUGAUAAGGUAAUAAUUUUAUUAACAGUUGGGGGAGAAAGACCCUGUAUACAAG